RNAcentral lists this ribosomal RNA (600 nucleotides) under Pseudomonas fluorescens. Its description in RNAcentral is "bacterial SSU rRNA". It matches the Rfam family "Bacterial small subunit ribosomal RNA", at positions 71 to 666 of the family's 1533-position model. The record is from RNAcentral. Lineage: Bacteria; Pseudomonadati; Pseudomonadota; Gammaproteobacteria; Pseudomonadales; Pseudomonadaceae.
AGAGAGAAGCUUGCUUCUCUUGAGAGCGGCGGACGGGUGAGUAAUGCCUAGGAAUCUGCCUGGUAGUGGGGGAUAACGUUCGGAAACGGACGCUAAUACCGCAUACGUCCUACGGGAGAAAGCAGGGGACCUUCGGGCCUUGCGCUAUCAGAUGAGCCUAGGUCGGAUUAGCUAGUUGGUGAGGUAAUGGCUCACCAAGGCGACGAUCCGUAACUGGUCUGAGAGGAUGAUCAGUCACACUGGAACUGAGACACGGUCCAGACUCCUACGGGAGGCAGCAGUGGGGAAUAUUGGACAAUGGGCGAAAGCCUGAUCCAGCCAUGCCGCGUGUGUGAAGAAGGUCUUCGGAUUGUAAAGCACUUUAAGUUGGGAGGAAGGGCAGUUACCUAAUACGUGAUUGUUUUGACGUUACCGACAGAAUAAGCACCGGCUAACUCUGUGCCAGCAGCCGCGGUAAUACAGAGGGUGCAAGCGUUAAUCGGAAUUACUGGGCGUAAAGCGCGCGUAGGUGGUUUGUUAAGUUGGAUGUGAAAUCCCCGGGCUCAACGUGGGAACUGCAUUCAAAACUGACUGACUAGAGUAUGGUAGAGGGUGGUGGAA